This 607-nucleotide ribosomal RNA is filed under the name uncultured bacterium. RNAcentral describes it as "bacterial SSU rRNA". It matches the Rfam family "Bacterial small subunit ribosomal RNA", at positions 8 to 612 of the family's 1533-position model. The record is from RNAcentral.
AGAGUUUGAUCCUGGCUCAGGAUGAACGCUAGCGGCAGGCUUAACACAUGCAAGUCGAACGGUAAGGCCCUGCUUGCAGGGUACACGAGUGGCGCACGGGUGCGUAACGCGUAUGCAACCUACCUUUAACAGAGAGAUAGCCCUGAGAAAUUGGGAUUAAUAUCACAUAACAUCUAGAUACCACAUAGUAUCAAGAUUAAAGCUCCGGCGGUUGAAGAUGGGCAUGCGUAACAUUAGCUAGAUGGUAAGGUAACGGCUUACCAUGGCAACGAUGUUUAGGGGUUCUGAGAGGAUUAUCCCCCACACUGGUACUGAGACACGGACCAGACUCCUACGGGAGGCAGCAGUGAGGAAUAUUGGGCAAUGGACGCAAGUCUGACCCAGCCAUGCCGCGUGCAGGAAGACUGCCCUAUGGGUUGUAAACUGCUUUUAUAUACCAAGAAACGCUUCCACGUGUGGAGGUUUGACGGUAGUAUAUGAAUAAGGACCGGCUAACUCCGUGCCAGCAGCCGCGGUAAUACGGAGGGUCCAAGCGUUAUCCGGAUUUAUUGGGUUUAAAGGGUGCGCAGGCGGUAUUAUAAGUCAGUGGUGAAAUCUGGAGGCUCAA